This is a long non-coding RNA of Podarcis raffonei (Aeolian wall lizard), 761 nucleotides long. RefSeq lists it as uncharacterized. The record is from RefSeq and is a predicted model, not a curated record. The transcript has 2 exons. Lineage: Eukaryota; Metazoa; Chordata; Lepidosauria; Squamata; Lacertidae.
AGCAGCAGCAGCAGCAGAAGCCCCCAACUUUGCAGGUAGGUAGCCCCACCGCCACCACCUGUCAGACUUUCGAAGUGGAGCAGCACCCCAAAGAGCGAGGAGGAAACCGAGUUCACCCCGCGCUGCAGCCAAUUUCUCUCUCUCUCUCUCCAGCAUCUGAAGGGACAUUUUUAGCUUCUGGGUGAGUGCGUGUGGAGAAGGAGCUGCUCUCCACCUGCCAAAGGAGAGGGAGAGCAAUCAGGGAGCAACCAGCAACUCCAGUCCUCCCAAGGAAGAAGACUUAAUUUCUGAUCUCAUUUCUCAAGAUCCACCCCCAGACAAAACGCUUCCAGCUUCAAGCCUCGCUGAAUGCUUUUCUCCUCUUCGCUUUGAAGCCAGGACCAAGCUCCCACCCACAACCCCACACUCAUGGUCUUUUGGUUGCUGGUGGAGAAUUAUGGAUGGGGAAGCAAAGCAACACCACCAUUGCUGACCAGAGGCCUGGCGUGGUGGUAGCAGCGUGAUUUCUCAGGCCUGGAAGCUGAAGAAGACUGGAAGUCCCCUUCCGUCAGACAUUUCCGAGCAAGCUUAACUUCUGAGAGCAUUCCCAGGAGGACUGAACCCAACGGGGCAAAUUCUGCAUCUGCAUGGUUCGGAAGAGGCUGGAGAAGAAUCUCUUGUGACUUUGCCAUGUGUUUUAUAGUCUCUUGUUAGAGUUCAGGACUGGUGGCCCACUGUCUGUUACCAAAAAUCAUUUUUCAAUAAAUUGUACAAUAAUUGUA